UUUUAAAAAGAAAAUAAAAAACUAAAAAAGAGAAAGAAAAAAAAAAAAAGAAGGAUCAUCAUCGGAAAUGGCGACAGUGGCAUGGAAGCAGCUCCUUCUGAACGCUCUUGAAUCCAACUCUCAUCUCAAGCACUCUACUUUCUUUCAGCUCGCAACGGUUGGAACCAACGGAACACCUUCCAACCGCACCGUUGUUUUCAGAGGAUUCCAAGACAACACUGAUAACAUCCAAAUCAACACUGAUGCCCGCAAUCGCAAGAUUGAAGAGCUCAAGCGUUGGCCCUCUGCUGAGAUAUGCUGGUACUUCACAGAUUCUUGGGAGCAAUUCCGGAUACAUGGGAACAUAGAUAUCAUUGACGGAGCGAAUCCUGACCCACUGAAACUUCAGUUCAUACUGCAGCAAAGAGAGAAAUCAUGGUUUGCGAAUUCACUGAGAUCAAGGUCACAAUAUUUAGGGCCGAACCCUGGUCUUCCGCGUCUAAUAGAGCAAGCACAGCCAGAAGUAUCUUUAGAUCCUUCUACAGGUCCAGUUGAUGCUUUUUGUCUGCUGAUCCUAGAACCAGAUCAGGUUGAUUACUUGAAUCUGAAGAGUAAUCAGAGGCUCACUUUCAAAACAGUUGUUAGUGCUGCCACAGACAAAAGCUGGGUUAUGGAAAGGGUCAACCCGUAAUCAAGUUCACUGUCGUAUUUAGACUUCACUUUAGACCAUUCAUUGCAUGUUUCGAGUAUAGGAGGCAGGACUGACCAGAAUGUUCCAGUCAGACUUUCAUCAUACAACAUACGAUAGAUCAGCAUUUGUGCCUGUAAAGGUUCUGAAAAGUUUAAUGCUGUCCGCUGGAGGAGAAGGUAGGGACUCGGAUUCCCCUUUUCCGUUGUAAACUAUAAAUACCAUGCCUAGCCCCCAUGAUUGGUGUAUAUCAAUGUGGCAAUGCAUAUACCAGACGCCUGCGAAAAUUAUCAAAGUUAUUUCAAGAAAUCAAUAAGUCCUGUUGUUUAACAGGGAAAUGAAAUAUACACUAAGGAUUUUUACCUGGAUUAUUGGCGACAAAGCGAAUUGCUGCCCAUCCACCAACCGG
Molecule: RNA transcript, 1076 nt
Organism: Arachis duranensis
Lineage: Eukaryota; Viridiplantae; Streptophyta; Magnoliopsida; Fabales; Fabaceae
Gene name: pyridoxine/pyridoxamine 5'-phosphate oxidase 2
Exons: 8
Source: RefSeq, a predicted model, not a curated record